Molecule: ribosomal RNA, 460 nt
Filed under: uncultured bacterium
Lineage: Bacteria
Description: partial 16S ribosomal RNA
Rfam family: Bacterial small subunit ribosomal RNA
Source: RNAcentral
CCUACGGGUGGCAGCAGUGAGGAAUAUUGGUCAAUGUGCGCUAGCCUGAACCAGCCCAGUAGCGUGAAGGAUGACUGCCCUAUGGGUUGUGAACUUCUUUUAUAGGGGAAUAAAGUGCAGUAUGUAUACUGCUUUGCAUGUACCUUAUGAAUAAGGAUCGGCUAACUCCGUGCCAGCAGCCGCGGUAAUACGGAGGACACGUGCGUUAUCCGGAUUUAUUGGGUUUAAAGGGAGCGUAGGCGGGUUGGUAAGUCAGUUGUGAAAGUUUGCGGAUCAACCGUAAAAUUGCAGUUGAUACUGGCAUCCUUGAGUACAGUAGAGGUAGGCGGAAUUCGUGGUGUAGCGGUGAAAUGCUUAGAUAUCACGAAGAACUCCGAUUGCGAAGGCAGCCUGAUGGACUGUAACUGACGCUGAUGCUCGAAAGUGUGGGUAGCAAACAGGAUUAGAGACCCUGGUAGUC